RNAcentral lists this ribosomal RNA (425 nucleotides) under uncultured bacterium. Its description in RNAcentral is "bacterial SSU rRNA". It matches the Rfam family "Bacterial small subunit ribosomal RNA", at positions 354 to 796 of the family's 1533-position model. The record is from RNAcentral.
GUGGGGAAUAUUGGACAAUGGGCGCAAGCCUGAUCCAGCCAUGCCGCGUGAGUGAUGAAGGCCCUAGGGUUGUAAAGCUCUUUCACCGGAGAAGAUAAUGACGGUAUCCGGAGAAGAAGCCCCGGCUAACUUCGUGCCAGCAGCCGCGGUAAUACGAAGGGGGCUAGCGUUGUUCGGAAUUACUGGGCGUAAAGCGCACGUAGGCGGACAUUUAAGUCCGGGGUGAAAUCCCGGGGCUCAACCCCGGAACUGCCUUUGAUACUGGGUGGCUGGGGUAUGGAAGAGGUAAGUGGAAUUCCGAGUGUAGAGGUGAAAUUCGUAGAUAUUCGGAGGAACACCAGUGGCGAAGGCGGCUCACUGGCUCGAUACUGACGCUGAGGUGCGAAAGCGUGGGGAGCAAACAGGAUUAGAUACCCCGGUAGUCC